This is a long non-coding RNA of Ictalurus punctatus (channel catfish), 1823 nucleotides long. NCBI's taxonomy places the organism in Eukaryota, Metazoa, Chordata, Actinopteri, Siluriformes, Ictaluridae. The record is from Ensembl.
UGGCAGCACUACCUGCUGUGCCACCAAGCCAUACUCAUAACGUAUAAACCUUUCUUCUUUAAAAUCCACAAUAACAGACCACAGCAUGUGUCAGGAAUUAGCCCUAGAACCUCCAGUGGUUGUGUUCAGCACUGACAUAUUCCUGAUGACAAGCAAAUGACUAUGUACAUAAUAAUCAGUCAGGGGUCUGAUGUGCCAAGGACAGACUUCCCAAAAUUGAGACACCUUGAACACCAAAAUAUUUGAACACUAUGAUCGGUGUGAAUGAACUAAAUAAACACAUGCUAUAAACAUCUGCAUAUGCCCGCUGUAUAAUUGGUGGUGUAUAUGUGUGUUUCAACAAAUGCGUGUAAACAAAAUAUAUCAAUAUGGGAAGCAUUGCAGUGCUAGCUAGCUGAAAUGACAGACAGUGUGAGUUCUUUUAGACGAUGAGCUAUUUAUCUUCCCUAAGCUCACAAACACAAAUGUGUGACCCCAGCCACAGAAAAAACAGGCUGUAUGUGAAUACGCACAGUUCAAGAGAGACUUCCGACUUAAACAAAUAUAUAUAUUAAACACAGAGUGCGAGGAAUUGCAUUCCACCGAAACUAUAGCAGAUACAUAAUACACAUAUAGCUGAGACAUAAUUGUGCAAACAGUCUAUAAGUGCACUUUAUAAUACAGGCAGUAAAAUGUACUGCUAAACACACAGGUUUAAUAACGGCAGAGAUGAGAAAGUUGCGUUUUAAGACUCCGACCUUUUCCACUUCUGAUCUGAGAGUGUUUGACCAGUCUGUAGCUCACUACAGCACACUCGGACCUGAGAUGACUCGGACUGAGAUGAGUCUGACCUGAGAUGACUCGGAGUGAGGUGAGUCGGACCUGAGAUGACUCGGACCUGAGAUUACUCGGAGUGAGAUGACAUGGAACUGAGAUGACUUGGACCUGAGAUGACUCGGACAUGAGAUGACUCGGACAUGAGACGCCUUGGAGUGAGAUUAUUCGGACCUGAGAUGACUCGGAGUGAGAUGAGUCUGACCUGAAAUGAGUCGGAGUGACAUGAUUCGGACCUGAGAUGACUUGGACCUGAGACGCCUCGGAGUGAGAUGAUUCGGACCUGAGAUGACUCGGAGUGAGAUGAGUCUGACCUGAGAUGAGUCGGAGUGAGAUGAGUCGGACCUGAGAUGACGUGGAACUGAGAUGAUGCGGAACUGAGAUGACUUGGACCUGAAAUGACUCGGACCUGAGAUGACUCGGACCUGAGAUGGCUCGCAGUGAGAUGACUCAAACCUGAGACGACUCGGAGUGAGAUGAUUCGGGCCUGAGAUGACUCAGUGCGAGAAGACUCGGACCUGAGAUGACUCGGAGUGAGAUGUCUCGUCCCCGAAGUGUUUGGGGAAAUGAGCGGAAGUGCUCACGAAGAGACCGUGAAACCAGCUCGGUGCUUGUGGCGCUCGCCUCGGUUUAACCGAGAGAUGUGGCGAAGGAUUCAAAAGCAGCGUGAAUUUUGGGCUUCUCGCCGCGAUCUUCCCUCAUCGCCAGUUCUCGACCGCUGCAGCUGGAGAAGAAAAUCGCGCUUCCUGGGUCCUAAAGCCUGACAGCUCUAUCCAGGUCACUUAUAUUGAACGGUUUAACCCAAAUGUUAAACCCAAAAACAUCUCAGCAUGCCUUAGACCUAAGGUGUCCUGGAGGUUGAAAGUUCAGAAACAGAAAGCUGAGUGGCUUCAGUUAGUGUGCAAAAUAUUACUGUAGCCUAUUACACAUAUAAUAAUAAUGUUAAUGAAAUUAUCUGUACUGAGGGGGUCCAUGUGGCCCUGUACUGUGAAACCUUUGUAUUAAAUAAA